GUCAUGCGCUGAAGCUCAUGAAAGCUUGAGCUUGUUGCCAAGUCGAGAAGUAGGAACUUACUACUACAAUGUACUGAUGAGCUCAAAAAAUUUAAUUUUGUGCAAUCAUCUAUGGCUAAAAUCCCACUCACAUUAAUCGAUGAUAUUUAGAUUUCCAAGAGAACCUGAGGAUUGAAAGAAAAGAAAAGAAAAAAGAACAUGCAAAUAUCACAAAUUCAUUCUAGCAUGGAAGUUUCUCGUCAUUGUCAU
RNAcentral lists this unclassified non-coding RNA (249 nucleotides) under Hevea brasiliensis (rubber tree). The record is from RNAcentral. Lineage: Eukaryota; Viridiplantae; Streptophyta; Magnoliopsida; Malpighiales; Euphorbiaceae.